AGUGUGAUUUGAUUGUGAGGAUGGGACACACUCUGCUCUGUAAACUGGAGUUCAUCUUAGUGCUGUAUUCACUCCUCCACAGUGGACACACUGAAGACAGAGCCAGAGCCACACUGACAGCAGCAACAACAACUGUGUCAGUAGGAGACAGAGUGACACUGAUCUGCUCUGUGGAGAAAUCUGCUGGUUGGAAAUAUGAGUGGUUCAGAAGAACCUCACACACCUCUGAAUACAGAAUGAACGAUGGACUAAAUGGAAACAUCAGAGUUUCACAAGGAGGAAUCUACAGAUGCAGAGGAUUUAGAGGAGAACCAGCCGUCUACUCUGAUCCAAGUGAUGAAGUCACCAUUCAAA
Oryzias latipes (Japanese medaka) is the source of this 354-nucleotide non-coding RNA. The record is from RefSeq and is a predicted model, not a curated record. Lineage: Eukaryota; Metazoa; Chordata; Actinopteri; Beloniformes; Adrianichthyidae.